Molecule: non-coding RNA, 476 nt
Organism: Callorhinchus milii (elephant shark)
Lineage: Eukaryota; Metazoa; Chordata; Chondrichthyes; Chimaeriformes; Callorhinchidae
Source: the annotation of a RefSeq genome assembly
AGAAACAUGAGGCUGUACUUUGUUGGAGCUCUGGUGAUCUCCCUCCUGGCUGAAUCUCUCGCUCAAACCCUGAUUCAGCCUGAAUUAUCGAUCACCAGAGAUCUGAUGAAAACUGCCCGCAUGCACUGCCAGGUGGAGGGGAUAGCGUUCGAGAGCGCUGUCAUUCACUGGUACCGACAAACUCCCAAACAGUCCAUUCGGCGGAUUAUGUACAUCCAGUCCAAGUCCUCUCCUCAGAGGGAUGACGGUUUCUCUAACAGAUUCACAGCCGAGAACAUAGCAGAGGGAGGCAUCAGCAGACUGGAAAUAGCACAACUCGAGACGUCUGACGCCGUUAUAACACAAGGAAUUGCAUCAGUGAUAUCAGAUUAUUAUUAUCAGUCACUGCCACAAGGAAACACAAUGAGAUUGCUCUACUCGUAUGGAAAAAGGCACUGUUCAGAAUGAAUAUUCCCUGCAUGUUAAUAAAUCAAUUA